UAACCUGCCUCUUAGCGGGGGAUAACUAUUGGAAACGAUAGCUAAUACCGCAUAAAAGUCGACAUUGCAUGAUGUUGACUUGAAAGGUGGCAACUGCAUCACUAAGAGAUGGACCUGCGUUGUAUUAGCUAGUUGGUGAGGUAACGGCUCACCAAGGCGACGAUACAUAGCCGACCUGAGAGGGUGAUCGGCCACACUGGGACUGAGACACGGCCCAG
RNAcentral lists this ribosomal RNA (218 nucleotides) under uncultured bacterium. RNAcentral's name for it is "partial 16S ribosomal RNA". It matches the Rfam family "Bacterial small subunit ribosomal RNA", at positions 122 to 334 of the family's 1533-position model. The record is from RNAcentral.